The submitters of this non-coding RNA (81 nucleotides) gave its source as unclassified sequences. The record is from Rfam.
ACAACCCGCAAGGCCGACGCACAACGCGCCGCCGGUGCAAGCCCGGCCACCCUGCAAGGGGUGGGCGCUCAUGGGUACACA